AGCGCGGCCAGUGAGCGCUGGGCGCCACAGACGCAGACCAGAGGUCGCUGGCGGAGCCGCUGUUCAGUGGUGGGCUGCGCCGUGCCGCUCACCCGGAGGUGCGCAGCAGCUGCUGGGAGUCUGCGCCGGACUCCAUGGGGAACAUCGAGAGUGCGGACGGCCGGUCCGACACCAGGCAUCACGGCGUGCCUCUCAAGGUGCCGAUGCCGGAGCCGGCCGAACUGGAGGAGAAGUUCGCCGACGUCCUGAACUCCAUGAACCUCCCUCCCGACAAGGCUCGCCUCCUCCGCCAGUAUGACAACGAGAAGAAGUGGGACCUGAUCUGUGACCAGGAGAGAUUCCAGGUGAAGAAUCCUCCGCACACAUACAUCCAGAAGAUCCGGGGCUACCUGGACCCGGGCGUCACGCGGAAGAAGUUCCGCCGGAGAGUUGAGGAGUCCACCAAGGUCCUGCGGGAGCUGGAGAUCUCUCUGAGGACCAACCACAUCGGGUGGGUGAGGGAGUUCAUCAACGAUGAGAACCGAGGCCUGGACGUGCUGGUGGAGUACCUCUCCUUCGCCCAGUUCGCUGUCAUGUUUGACUUUGAGGGCUGGCAGAAUGGCAAGGACAGCUACCUGGAAAAGGCCACGGCCUGGAGCAGCUCCAUGGAGGACCUGCAUGGCACGGCCACUCUGCUCCGCUCCGCUCUGCGCCCUGCGCGCCGCCACGGCUCCGUCUCCGGCAACAGAUCCAUCAAGAACUCACGGCUGGUGGGCCAGAAGGAGGACGUGCACGUGUGCAUCAUGUGCCUGCGGGCCAUCAUGAACUACCAGUACGGCUUCAACAUGGUCAUGUCUCACGCCCACGCCGUCAACCAGAUCGCCCUCAGCCUCAACAACAGGAGCCCUCGGACCAAAGCUCUGGUGCUGGAGCUGCUGGCGGCCGUCUGCCUGGUGCGAGGCGGACACGAGAUCAUCCUGUCUGCCUUCGACAACUUCAAGGAGGUGUGUCAGGAGAAGCGUCGCUUCGAUAGGCUGAUGGAUUAUUUCUGCAGUGAGGAGGGAAACAUCGACUUCAUGGUGGCAUGCAUGCAGUUCAUCAACAUCGUGGUCCACUCAGUGGAGGACAUGAACUUCAGAGUCCACCUGCAGUACGAGUUCACCAAGCUGGGUCUGGACGACUACCUGGAGAAAUGCAAACACACCGAGAGCGACAAGCUGUCGGUGCAGAUCCAGGCCUACCUGGACAACGUGUUUGAUGUGGGGGGUCUGCUGGAGGACGCCGAGACCAAGAACGCGGCGCUGGAGAAGGUGGACGAGCUGGAGGAGCACCUGUCCCACGUGACUGAGAAGCUGCUGGAGGUGGAGAACGAGACCAUCAUGAAGGUCGCUGAUCUGGAGAAGCUGCUGCUUCAGAAGGACAAAGAUCUUCAGAUCAUCAGGGACACGUACGAGUCGACGAGCGUGCAGGUGACCACCCUGCGGCGGAUGAUCAAGGAGAAGGACGCCGCCUUCCAGCGCCACUUCAACAUCGAGAGACGUCUGCUGGAGCUGGAGCAGCAGGGAACCAUCCGCCUCACCAAGAAGGCGGACGGAGACAUCGCCAUAGAGCCGCUAGCCGGGGCCCCUCUGGGGGACCUCGGUCAGCUGCCUGGAGUCCCGCUGGCGCCACCAGCCGGGCACGACCCGGGUUCACCUUUGGCCUCUGAAGUACCGCCCCCUCUCCCACUGCCCCCGCCUCCUCCGCCCCUGCCCCCAGCUUCAGGUCUGGGUGCGGCGGCUCCGCCCCCUCCCCUGGCUCCCCCACUGCCAGGCGCGUCUCCCUCCCUCGUCCUGAGCGUGGGACUCUCAGCCAUCCGAAUCAAGAGACCCAUCAAGACCAAGUUCCGGCUGCCAGUCUUCAACUGGACGGCGCUGAAGCCCAAUCAGAUCAACGGAACCGUGUUCAACGAGAUCGACGACGAGCGCGUGCUGGAGGAGCUGGACCUGGAGAAGUUCGAGGAGAUGUUCAAGACCCGGGCUCAGGGUCCAGUGGUGGACCUGUCCUGCACCAAGAGCAAAGUGGCGCAGAAGGUGGUGAACAAGGUCACGCUGCUGGACCCCAACCGCUCCAAGAACCUGGCCAUCACGCUGAGGAAGGCCAGCAAGAGCUCGGAGGAGAUCUGCAGGGCCAUCGAGAAGUUCGACCUGAAGGCCUUGCCCGUGGACUUCAUGGAGUGUCUGAUGCGCUUCCUGCCCACGGAGGCCGAGGUGAAGGUGUUGCGUCAGUACGAGCGCGAGCGGCGCCCGCUGGACCAGCUGGUGGAGGAGGACCGCUUCAUGUUGCUCUUCAGUAAGAUCGAGAGACUCACCCAGAGGAUGAACAUCAUCACCUUCGUGGGGAACUUCGCGGACAACGUCAACAUGCUCAUGCCGCAGCUCAACGCCGUCAUCGCCGCGUCCGUGUCCGUCAAGUCCUCGCCCAAGCUGAAGAGGAUGCUGGAGAUCAUUCUGGCCCUGGGGAACUACAUGAACAGCAGCAAGCGAGGCUGCGUGUACGGCUUCAAGCUCCAGAGCCUGGACCUGCUGCUGGACACCAAGUCCACCGACAGGAAGAUGACUCUGCUCAACUACAUCGCCCUGAUUGUGAAGGAGAAGUACCCGGAGCUGACCAACUUCCACCUGGAGCUGCACUUUGUGGAGAAGGCUGCGGCAGUGUCGCUGGAGAACGUGCUGACGGACGUGCGGGAGCUGGCCAAGGGCAUGGAGCUGAUCCGCCGCGAGUGCAGCCUGCACGAGCACGCCGUGCUCAAGGCCUUCGUCCAGUCCAGUCAGGCCCAGCUGGAGCGGCUGCAGAAGGACGCCAGGACCGCAGAGGAAGCCUUCAACAGCGUGCUCAACUACUUUGGGGAAAGCGCCAAGACGACGCCGCCGUCCGUCUUCUUCCCCGUCUUCGUCCGCUUCGUCAAGUCCUACAAGGAGGCGGUGGAGGAGAACGAGCAGGCCAAGAAGCAGGAGCAGCUGAUGAGGGAGAAGCUGCUGGCUCAGGAGGCCAAGCAACUGGAGCCCAAGGUGCAGGCGCAGAAGAAGAGGCAGCAGCAGCAGCAGCACGAGCUGAUCGCAGAGCUGCGGCGGCGCCAGGCCAAAGACCACCGACCCGUCUACGAGGGCAAAGACGGAACCAUCGAAGACAUCAUCACAGUGCUGAAGAGCGUGCCCUUCACCGCCCGCACUGCUAAACGCAGCUCGCGCUUCUUCUGCGACGCCCACCUCUGUGACGACGCCAGCUGCUAGCUCCCUCUUAACGCCAAGCGGGGAUGAAGAGUCUGGACAGUCAGGUCUCCUCCGUUCAGCGAGGAUCUGAGGAGUCAGCCUUUCCUGCGAGCUGACGCGCUGAUGCGGAGCGGCUGGAAGAGACCCUGAACCACCUGAACCUGAGGCUGCAGAGGGCAGGACAGCGCCCCCUUGUGUUGGCCGGCUAAUUUAUUUAUUUAUGGGGGCCCAGUCCCACUCUGGAGCUGCAGGAGGACUCCAACGGACCACAGAGGGCACCGUAGACUGAGAGGCCUUCACAUAAGGAAGAGGUGAAGUGGGGGGGAGCUUCUGCUGCCACGUUUGUCCGUGUUCUCUUUCCUCUCUUGUGCCGCUGCCAAACAGUGACCCUCGUACUUCCAGCCGCCCGCAACUUCCUCGUCCACAUCUACCGCUGCGACGCAGGGAGCUGAGCGGAGGUGGUCACGUGAUCGCGGCUCAGAGCUCUGACUCUGACACACAACCUGAUGGCGUGGGGGGGCUCACUAUUUGGCUCUGAAGCGUGCCUUUGUCUGCUGUGGAAGUGUGGUGGAGACGUCGUCCCGACUCUUGAGUCUUCACUGGAACCGAAUGUCCAAGGGUCAAUGCGUGACCUUUGACCAGACUGUGUCGGCUCCCGAGAGUCAAGGGACCUUCCUUUUGCUUUUAUACCUUUGUACAAGCCAGACGUGCACUGGACGCAUCGUUCCUGCCUGGGAGGGUGUCGAUUAAAGUCAGAUGUCACGUCAGUUGCUACUUUCACGCUCCUUUUACUGAAGACAUGGGAUGAAAAAGUGAAACGCCGACGCCCUUCAGUUACUCUGUUCAGCAGGGUGGCUUCAUUCUUGGUCACCCGGCGCCCUCCAGUGGGUGUUGCGACGAUCUUCGACCAUUUCCGACCGCGAACAGGCUCGACGGUGUCCGCGUGUGCGUUUGGUCACGUGACAGACUGGCAGGUGCAGUUCCAAGUCAUCUGUGACCCCUGUGACCUCCACCCGGGCCAGUCGCCAACGUUCUGUGAGUGAAGCCUCUUGUUCCAGUUGGAAUAUCGCAAGUGAUUCUCCGACGUCUGCAGAACUACACUGACUACUUCCAUUUCAUUUCAAGUCUCUCCAGCUAAAUCUUUAAGUGGUGAACACCUUGGCCACAGAACUCUGGGUGAACCAUGUGAAGAGGUGAAAAGGCACUUCAUUACAAGGUAUUACCUUUCAUGUACACGUAACACCGGACUUCCGACCGGGAUCGGAUCGGACAUGGUCGAAUGAAUGAAUUCAAACUAGCCGGCGCGAGGGUUACAGGUGCUACUGUAGCGGUGGAUGGCUGUGUGAGAGUGAGGUGCUGUCGCACACGUGGCCAGAUAUUGGAUGGAAAAAAUCUGCUUCUGAAUGUGAAAGAAAAACUGAAAAAAAGAAGUGUGAGAAUUCCAAUGUUAAUUUGACUCUGCUCUCAUGAGGGCCAUGAAUACAGGUGCUAGGUGUUGUUGGCUUCACAACAAUCACGAUCAAUAAGCUUGUUUGAAAAUCUUAAUUCCAUUCUAUUACUUCCGGUGGGCUGCGAGGCAUUUUAAACUUCACAUCAAGUGGGGAAACUGGCCUCUGAAAAGUGGAGAUCUGGUGUCUGUGGCGUGGAUGUUCUGACGCUUGUAGCUGUGCAGGGGAACUGGCUGCCCCCAGGAAGAUCCUGCACGGUUUCAUGCAGAAAGGCAACCAACGUGAACAAGAACUGCAACUUUAUUGAGGGUAAGAAGAGCUGAGAGGUUCAGGGGCAGACAUUUGCAGGAAAGCGACUGGAGCAUUGAAAGAAUGAGGCAGUUGAACAUGGUUUGAGGUAAAAGUGUUUUGUCAUUCACCAAAGAUCCCCACGCCUGCCCUGAUCACCUGACCAUUGGCUUUUGAAGUGCGGUCUGCCAAUCAACGUGUGAAAGUAUGACGCGGCGAGGACAAUGGACGCUCGCACUCAAGCCACUGCACUGUAGCGAUAAGGUACCCAGGUGCUGCGGAGAAGCAGGAGGUCACAUUCACGUGAGAAGAUUUUGGACUACAGCUGAGUCAAUGACACGCAGGAAGCAAAGGAACCAGCACGAGAAGUAGCCUCAGAGAAGUGCUGCGUCCACCCGUGUGGCCAGAAGAUGCAAACUGGUCAAGAGCAAAAUCACAAAAAUACAACAACAAAUAUCCAACAUUCAGUCCGACCUCGCAGCGAGGAGCAGCAUGGGAGUUGGUUGUUGGUUGGGUUUGGAGCGCUGCGCUCACUCUAGCAUCUGGAGCUCCAGACUGGCCCAGUGGCCCGGGCUUUAGCCUUUCCGCCGUCUUCCCGCCCACAUGUCUCCCAGGGCUUGUGAGAAGUGACCAUCAAAGUCUUGUUCAGUGCACCCACACAGGGCUGCAGCUCGGGGAACUGGACUGGUGCAGGUGAGCAGAGGGUGCGGUCCAAGCCCCGCUCCAUGAGGCACCACCAGCGCAGGUUCGGGCGUCUCAUCGCCCGCUGGUGUAAACGUGUGGUCCUGCAGCAGUGUUAAGGCAAUCCGACAGAAGCUCCUCCCACACUCCCGAGGCACAAGUGCGUGUAGUGCUGACCCGACUCACCGAAGCAGGACCGUGUAAACGAGCAUUUCAAACUGAGAGAACCCUGGUCCGUCAGGCGAAAUGCGCCACUGACUUCUCCGCCGAGGCAGAACCGUGACGCCGGGUGAAGAUGCUCCUGCUCUUCAUCUCCCUCCUCCUCUUCCUCCGCACUGAAGGCACUUUGGGGCGAAGCUGUGUUUCGCAGACCAACUGGGCUGGCUUUCGCUCAUCACAGCCGCUUCAUCAGUGACACGACUAGAGAAGGGCUCGCCGCUGGCCUGGGACUGACGCCAGAGCUCAGCCCACCAGGUGCUCGCCGCGGCAGAUGUGCGAGGAAAACUGGUAGCGGUCCUGGCUGCGGUGGCCGCAGAUGUUGCACUCGAAGGGCUGUCGGUAACCAUGGCAACCCAUGUGGAUGGUGAACAUGACGUGAUCCAGAAAGAGGAUGCGGCAGUGGCGGCAGUGGAAGGAGCGAAGCGCCUGGCCGUCGGCGUCUAACACCUGAACCGCCUCCCGGGAGGUCCUCCUCACCAUCGCUGCGGGAGCCGGGCAGGCUCUGGCCCAGUCAGGGUCCAGGUCCUUGGUCUGGAGGGGGCUGGAAGUGGAAUGGUUUCCGGAGGGCGCCGGGGCUCGAAGGCGGAGGUGCUGGUUGUUUGAGGUACUGGUUGGGACCGUAGCCCUUGUGCUCUGCUCCUCGGGCGCGCUCUCUGUGUCGGUGGAGUCUGGACAUCCGUUGGGUGAGGGGUCAUCCCGGCCCUCGGCCAGCUCAAGUCCGCCAUGAGGAGGACCUUGAAGGGAGGAGUUGCUGACGAAGGUGGGAUGCAGCUGACCUCUGGAGCCCGGCAAGUGUCUGGCCACCAGCCCUGUCCAGUCCCCGGACUCCGGCUCCUUCUCCGAGCCAGACGACAGCUCAUAAGGUGCUUCAGGUGUGUCCAAGUCCAUCUGCUUCUCAGCUGCGGGCACACAAAGACAGGGCAGAGGGGGCACUGGAGAGGCAGAGAACAAGCAAUGACUCACCAGAAAACUUCUGUGGUGUGGAGCGCUUUCGUUUGGUGAGGCUGAGGC
This is an RNA transcript of Synchiropus splendidus (mandarinfish), 6877 nucleotides long. It is a transcript of the gene named formin-like 3, with no coding region annotated. Lineage: Eukaryota; Metazoa; Chordata; Actinopteri; Syngnathiformes; Callionymidae. The record is from RefSeq and is a predicted model, not a curated record. The transcript has 27 exons.